AUCUGGUUGGCUACUGUGAGAACAAGAUCCUGGACUAGAUGGGCCAUUGGUCUGAUCCAGCAGGCUCUUCUUAUGUUCAUGAUCCACUAGGAUCUUCUCCUGCUUAAGGUUCUAAAAAGCAGCUAUGCAAAGAUACUCAGGUAGGUACAUGGUGCAACAUGCUUGCUGCAAUCGAGCAAAUCUUGAUCUGGUCAGUGUCUUGAGGGAAGCCCACCUCAGAGCUCUAUGCAUAUUUCCUUGAGUUCUGUGAUGUUAGAAAGGUGGGAUAGAAAUACAAUAAAUGCUGUGAUCUUCUACAAUUCACAGCAGUCAAGAGUGUGCAUAUUAUCAGUAGUAUUGCUAAAUAGGGGCACUUCUAGACUGUCACUAUUUUCAGGUGGGGAUUCAAUCACGCACUUGCAAAUCCAGGUUCUACAAUUACAAUUGACUGGAAAGUCUUGGGAACAAAUUCACUUUCCCAGAAAUAUUGGAUUUUGGGAGGGGAGGGAGUAAAGAAUAUGGCAGGGAAAUGCACUGGAAAGUGUUGGUAACAGUUGCUCUGAUGCAACGUCAUCUAUCCACCCCACAAACAAAUCAGAAUAAGCUGUACCCAACAUUAGUCACACUUGGAGCAAACCCAUUGGCAUUAAUAAGUCACAACUAACAGGUCCAUUAAUUUCAAUGGGUUUGCUCUGACUAAGGCACCAUUAUUAGGAGCCAACAUUGUCUAGUAUUCCUGCAAAAAUCCAGAUGAAUGCUUAGUCAACAGGUAGUAUGGAAGGUGCCCAUCAAUAUGUGUAUUGAUUGAAGGCCUUUUUUUUAUUGCAGGGACUUUCUGGAAUAUCCUGCCUUCUGUCCCCAUGUUUUGCAUCACUGUAACAGGAUCCCCAAGUACAACUAUUUACUUCCCUCACUGACAGCUGUUCACUUCUAUUGCAGGAAUGGUGGUGGGAGAGAGUGGUGCAGUUAAAACUGUUGAGGAGAGAUUAUUAACUUCAUUGACUUCAUUUAUUGAGACUAAAGCCUGCCCCUUAUUUGCAUAGCCCUUCUUUUUAAUCCGUAUCACCUCAACUUGGAUUUUGAAAACAAGGCAUGGGGAACCUUCUGCAGCCAGGGCCAGCCCUACCAUGAGGUAAUAUGAGGCAACUGCCUAAGGCAGCAUAUUUCUUUUGGGGGGAGGGGGUAGCAGCAGCACCUUGGACGUUCUUCCUAAACCCCCUUACCAUCCCAUCUGUUGGAGAACAGAGCUGUGCAUGCUCCAUUACCUGUUCUGCCCACUCUAAAUUAGCCUGCUGGUUUGGGUGCAGUGAAGGAGACCAUCAUUUUAUUGGUGUUGUAAGUUUUAGUUUUCAGUCCAAUCAGUUUCCGUAUGUGGAAUGUGGGGAGGGAAACAUCUUGUCCUUUGCUCCAGGCAGCAAGUUUCUGGGCAUGCAGUUCCCAUCAUCCCCAACCAUUGGCAAUGCUGGUUGGGCCACUUAGAAGUUGGGGACCAACAACAUCUGGAGGGCUAUAGGUUCCCCACCCUUGCUUUACAAGGUUGGCAUGUCUGUGUGUGUUUAGUUACAAAAUGCACAUCUGUAGAGUGUAUGUUUAGGAAAAGCCACAUUUUUUAAAAACAUACUCUUUAAUGUCCACUAGGGGGAGAAAGGUUUGUGAUUCAAAUUCAUAUCCUAGAAUCAUACAUUAUAAUUCCCAUUUAGCAAUGUCACCUUUAAUUUGCAAAAAAACAAAAACAAACCCAUCUCUCUCUCUGUGUGUGUGUGUGUGUCUGUGUCUACACACAAACCAGUCGAAUUGUUCAGAUGCAAGCUUAAGACUCUUUAAAAAAAUACCUAACCCUUUUCUAACUGAAAUAUUUAACUUUUCUCCUUUGAUCACCUUCUUGUGAUAUGAUGUUAUUUUAACUGUUAAUUCUGGAGUGUAUUUUAUACCUAUUGUUUGUUUUCUGUACCCCACUGGUAUUUUAUGUGACUGCUUUAUGAAAUAUUUCAAAAUGGCAGAUAGAUAGCCUAACUUCACAUUCUAGCUUUGCAUUUGCAGGAAAGUCUACCCACCCACGCACCUAUGUGUAGAAGCCUUCACACCUGCACUUGGAAGUGGUAUCCAUUAGGAGCAGGUGUGUCAUGUGACCAUGUAUCUUAAUUCUCAGAGUGCACAUAUAUGACCACAACAGAAAUAUCUUAUGCCGUGUGUGGUCUUGUAAUCACUUGGAUAAGUGCAGAAUGUUUGGGUGGACACAUAUUCGCGAUAGGACAAAAAAGAAAGAGUUACUGAGAGGUGUGCAAUCCUUUAACACCUGUUGUUUGGUCAUGCCAGUGGAUGUGAUGUGCUGGAAAUGAAACGUAUGAAGAAAUGAACAGGAGGAUAACCAUGGAAGAAAAGUCUCACCCGUGGCCCCAUCAUAUGUAUCGCUGAGAUCAGAGACGACUGUCCUUUUUUAAAAAGAAGAAGACAGAGCUUUAUUUCCAGUCACACUUCAUCUGAUAUAAAUGAACCAGCACUGAAGAUCACAUGGCUGAAUGCAUUUGGAAACACAACCCAACAUACAUUAAGGAAAAGGAGACUGGAAAGCCUGACUCUGCAAAUGAAAAGCAUCUCGUCCUUCAACUCUACCAUAAGAUUUGUGAAGUGGAACUACUAAGAAGAUGUUUAAAGAGUUGUUUGUAGUAUUAAUUUUAACUUCAUGCGUUCUCAAGCUGAACCCACCUCACGAUUAAACACACAGAGUGUGUGUUUACUAGUUACACUAUGCAUUUUGACCUGCUUAGUUUUAUGAGAAUGUGGUGUGACAUUUAUUACUCUAGUAAAGGGAAGCUGUGUUAAUCAUAAAGGUACAAGAAAAUUAGCCUCCUAAGUCUAGAAUUCCUAAUUAAGGCUGAAAUCCGAAGCAUAGUUUUCCUGGAAGUAAGCCCCCUUAAACACAGUGAUUACGUCUGUGCAAAUAGGCAUUAAGAGUUUAUAGGGAGUAAAAUACAGAAUGAGUUCAAAGACGCUGUUGUGAAAGCAUUGUAAGAUCGGUUUGGAUCAUUUUUCAGACAGGGUUGGGAGUUCUAGUUGACUAAUCAGACAAUAAUCAAUUAAAAGUAUUUUGAUGAACA
Molecule: non-coding RNA, 3077 nt
Organism: Podarcis muralis (Common wall lizard)
Lineage: Eukaryota; Metazoa; Chordata; Lepidosauria; Squamata; Lacertidae
Source: RefSeq, a predicted model, not a curated record